UCAUUCCUUGUUAUUGUCAUUUACUUACUUUCACACCCACGAUGUCCCUUAUUUAUUAAGGCCUUUUUCCAAUUCUAAUUAGUAGUAUCAGUCAAUAUCUCUUCUUUUAAUAUACCCACGUUCCCUUUCCCAUAAAUCUCAUUAGUUCGAUCAUCGGUAACGUAAAUAUAAUUGCAGGCUUGCAGCUUGCGACAAAUCUAUAAAUAUUACUCAAGCACAUAUCCUCUUCACUUCAAAACCAGAAAAAAGAGUUCGAUCUCACUUUUUUUUCUACCCUUCAAAAGAUUAGCGACUAAGAUAGAAAAAAGAGUCUCGUGCAAAGAGUUCGUUACUGUUUCGUAGAAGCCUGCCUUGAUGUUAAUUGAUGAAUAUGAAAAAGAAAAGGUUUGGCUAGGAAGCUGGAGAUGAGUUUGAUAGAGUGGAAGAGAAGAUUUGUUUAAGAUAGCAAGGACAUUUAACCGAAGAGUUUAUGGGAGUUCUAUUCUCCUCUUUCUUUUUCUUUUCAAACUCAUUUCCUUAAUACUAUUUGUGAUGAAUUUAUAGGAGGGCUAUGGAUGUAUUGGGAUGGUUAAAAAAACAUUAAAAAAAAAAGGAGGUGGAAUUGAGAGGAUUUUGCAGAUAAUUUAGAGAAAAAAGAGGAUGUUACUGAUUUUAGAAGACAAUCAAGAGAAUAAAUGAAAUAGAAUAUUAACAAAAGAUAAAGUAUAAAUAACAGGAGGUGGCGAUUUGCAAAGGUUAUGAGGGAGGUGAUGCGUGAUUUGGCGACAAAAGAAGGGAAUGAAUGUAGCAAAACAGAAAAAAGAAAAAGGAAUAAGGAAAGGGAGAUAAAAUAAGGAAGGAGAGAAAAUUAGGAUUACAGAAUCUUCCUAUCUUGAUUCUAUCAUCCACUUCUAUUUGUGACUGAGAUUUGUGUUCUUUUGCAUUCCCUCAGUUUUGGGAAUUUAUUUACGGAGUAUUAUUACUUUCCUUAUUGUUGCUUUCCGUUUUGCCUUCUUUUGUUCUUAAAUUAAGGAAAUCUUUUAAAGUGUUAUAAAUAGAAUUCUAUUUAAGGUGAAUGUCUAUAUUUAGAGAGAUUCUAGGGUUUAUUGCUUGGUGGCUAAGUCAAUCUCUCCCUAUAAAUAUAGGCUAUUCUAUUGUAAUUCAUCACAUAUCAAUAAGAAUUCUCUUCUCUCUACUUUUCUCUGCCGUACUCUUCUUUUUCUUUUAUUAUUUCAUCUCACGUUAUUAGCACGAGAAUCUAACCAAUUGAGUAGAAGAUUUGGGAUUGAGCAUAAUGAUUGUCAAUUAUUCUAUAAACUUCCUUCCUGAUUAAAUUCUGGAUUUGAGGUAAGUAUUUUACUUUUCUCUUUCAAAUUCUUGACAUUCUAUAAUUUGAUAUUAAAUACAAGCAAAGACGAUAAAUUUUGAUUGCAACUUUAAUGGAGUUUGAAAGAUAUUAUAACCACCCAAAGUGGUAAAAUUUCUAUGUCUUGCCAUGAUCAAAUUCAUGUAUGAUAAUUGAUACAUUACGGAAUUCAAAUGAAUAAACAUUAAAGAACUAGAAAGUUCUUUACGAAUUCUUUACGGAAUUCAAAUGAAUAAACAUUAAAGAACUAGAAAGUUCUUUACGAAUUCUCCUAGGUUGCUUGUUCUCAUUAAUUAGUAGACCAACUAAAAUUGGGAUUGAAUCCCAUAAACGCUGGAAAUAUCAAAAGUGAAUAUGGGCUCAUUCACUUGCCAUGUAUACCACAUAAGAUGCAUUUAUGAGAUGGUUACAUGUGCAAUUAUUAUUAACUCGCAAUAUGAUAUUUUGCGAGGUAACUUGCUCAAUAGCAUAAUUUCCAGAUUUUCUAUUCAAGAAGUUCAUCUUGAUAAGUUGGUUUAUAUCACAGCUAGUUUAGCAAAAUAAUUUAUUGAGUGCCUCCACUUAAUAGCUAAAUUGUUGCUGAUAAGAACAAAGUUAUCUAUAUCAGUUUGAUAUAGGUCAUAUACGAAAGUAUAUUACAUUCUCCCCUCACAAGUGGUUCGGGGUCAGGAACCAAAUAAUUUCAUCUUAUUAUUAUUGAUGUGCGGUGUAUAUAUUGAUUAAGACCAUAACGCACAAAGAUGGGUUCCCAAAAUUGAGGAAGCAAGUUAGUUUUUCUAACAUGAGGUGGAGACAUGAUAAACGGUUGAGAAAAAGUUACGUUGAAUGAAUUAUCAUUUGUACAUUUAGAUCCUCGAAUAAGAUAAUAUGAACUUGAAGUUUAUAAAAGGAUAAUUCAUUUGCAAUAUAUUCCAAAGCAUGCCAUACGCUUUUGCUGACCCAAAGAAAGUAACUAUAUUCUCAUUGCAAAUGCUCAUAUUAAGUCCUAGAAGGACAAAGUCUAUAGUACGCUUAAAGCGUAUAGACAAAUCGGUUUCAAAUAAAACUUCUUGAUAAAGAAGAUGAGCAAAUGAUCAAACUGAUCAUAAUAAGGAGGCAAGUGAUCUAGAAGAUCCCAUUGGGUUUUAUUUAGUUAAGAUUUUAACGAGGCACAUUAUCUGUUGAAUAGACAUUCAAGGGGGAGUGUUAUAAAUAGAAUUCUAUUUAAGGUGAAUGUCUAUAUUUAGAGAGAUUCUAGGGUUUAUUGCUUGGUGGC
This 2600-nucleotide long non-coding RNA is filed under the name Nicotiana tabacum (common tobacco). Its description in RNAcentral is "long non-coding RNA (NTAB_LNC013933)". Lineage: Eukaryota; Viridiplantae; Streptophyta; Magnoliopsida; Solanales; Solanaceae. The record is from RNAcentral.